Molecule: long non-coding RNA, 351 nt
Organism: Bufo gargarizans (Asiatic toad)
Lineage: Eukaryota; Metazoa; Chordata; Amphibia; Anura; Bufonidae
Exons: 3
Source: RefSeq, a predicted model, not a curated record
CUACCAUCACUGCAGAGUUGCUUCCUGUCCUGCCUGCUGCUGGCCUGUCUUCAAACUAGUAAGCUACUGCAUCAGACGUUCUUUGUGGGGCAAGAAGAAGAUGGAAGAGGAGGCAGCGCCGCCAGCAUGGAGUCCCAUGGGAGAGGCACAGGGAGGCACAUUAAGGACGUUUUGAUAAAGUACCAGGAACCCACCCACUUGUGUCUGGAGAUUGGGUGGUAGUAAAAGACACGCUAGGAAAGUCCUAAAACCCUGGUUUGAUGGUCCAUUCCGAGUGUUGUUGACCACAAGCACAGUGAAGCUCAAAGGAAAGCAUAAUUGGAUUGAUUUCAAGGAAGUGUUGAGACUGGU